RNAcentral lists this small RNA (25 nucleotides) under Bombyx mori (domestic silkworm). RNAcentral's name for it is "ovarian small RNA-23392". The record is from RNAcentral. Lineage: Eukaryota; Metazoa; Arthropoda; Insecta; Lepidoptera; Bombycidae.
UAUAGGUGUAGCCUGUUGUUUGGAC